GCUUAAUAUAAUUAUUUAUAUAUAAUUAAUUGCUCUACAUAUUAUUUUCUCUUUCCGUGCCAUGAAUAACACAAAGCUAGGCUUAAAAACCUCUCCAAUAUGAAACAAAAAAAAAGUAGUCCCUAUUAAUUCAAAGCUAAAAGAGAAGAGAGGAGAUGAGAAUAGAAGAGAGCUUACUUAAACUUAAAUGAAUUUGAGAUGAGUUUACAAAGCCACUAUGUAAUAAUAAUGAUAAUAGCAUAUAUUAUGUAACAAUUAGUCACAUAAUUAAGAAGAAGGAGUGAUGAUCAAGCGUUGAAUAUCUUAGAAAGAGCCUGCAAUACAUUAACUUGAAACCUCAAGUGCGUGAUGUGCUCCGCCGUCUUAAGGAAAAGGCGGUCGGCCUUCAGCCCCGCUCCGCCCGGAAUCAGCCGUUGUAAUUUCUUCAUCUUCCUCCCUACUGCCUCCUGCUGCCUCUUUCUUCUCCUUCUCCACUUCACCUUUGCCAAAUCUUUGUAAUUACCCAUAUCUAUCAACUACUAGUAACAUACAACAAGGUACUAAUAAUAUUCACACAAAUUAAAAAUAAAAGAAGGUAGAAGAAGAAGAAGAGGAAGAAAAUUGUGGAUGAUGGAGGAUGAGAAUGUUGCAAUGGAGUGAGCAAGGAGAGAGGGCUAUAAAUGAAUGAAGAAAAAAAAAAAGAGAAAAAGAAAUGGGAUAGCAACUUGAUAGCUAUACAAACGGGC
RNAcentral lists this long non-coding RNA (725 nucleotides) under Arachis ipaensis. Its description in RNAcentral is "long non-coding RNA (AIPA_LNC000778)". Lineage: Eukaryota; Viridiplantae; Streptophyta; Magnoliopsida; Fabales; Fabaceae. The record is from RNAcentral.